ACUACGGGCGGCAGCAGUGGGGAAUAUUGCACAAUGGGGGGAACCCUGAUGCAGCGACGCCGCGUGAGUGAAGAAGUAUUUCGGUAUGUAAAGCUCUAUCAGCAGGGAAGAAAAUGACGGUACCUGACUAAGAAGCCCCGGCUAACUACGUGCCAGCAGCCGCGGUAAUACGAAGGGGGCCAGCGUUAUCCGGAUUUACUGGGUGUAAAGGGAGCGCAGACGGCUGUGCAAGUCUGGAGUGAAAGGCGGGGGCCCAACCCCCGGACUGCUCUGGAAACUGUAAAGCUGGAGUGCAGGAGAGGUAAGCGGAAUUCCUGGUGUAGCGGUGAAAUGCGUAGAUAUUAGGAGGAACACCAGUGGCGAAGGCGGCUUACUGAACUGCAACUGACGUUGAGGCUCGAAAGCGUGGGGAGCAAACAGGAUUAGAUACCCUUGUAGUC
RNAcentral lists this ribosomal RNA (440 nucleotides) under uncultured bacterium. RNAcentral's name for it is "partial 16S ribosomal RNA". It matches the Rfam family "Bacterial small subunit ribosomal RNA", at positions 338 to 795 of the family's 1533-position model. The record is from RNAcentral.